CCCCCUUGCAUUGAACAACUACACAGACACUCAUUCACGAUCAGGAUUUUCUCAUUUGUAAUUGAAAGAUUCAAGACAUCACUCACAAUUCUUGUAGAUUUGUACAAUUAACGGUACAGUCUUUCUCGCAUAGCCUUUCGCCUGUCUUUGUUUAUACUCUGUAUAUAAUUAAAUCUCGUAUAUAAAACUAUAAAAUGUCCCUUCGGCUUCGGCGAUUUCAAUCUUUAAAUAAUCCAAUGUCCAAUUUUGUGCAGCUUUUUAAUACAUUGUGACACAACAUCCAACAUUUUUUAUAUUAAAAAUAAAAUUUCCAUUGAUAGACAGCAGAUUUCAACGACCAAAACGACUCUCCGUCUUCUUUGAACAGUUAAUACACUCCUAUCAACUCCUAUAGUCAGCCAUAUUUAUUAGUAAAAGUUCGUGUUCAAUUUCCG
Non-coding RNA from Paramuricea clavata, 434 nucleotides. NCBI's taxonomy places the organism in Eukaryota, Metazoa, Cnidaria, Anthozoa, Malacalcyonacea, Plexauridae. The record is from the annotation of a GenBank genome assembly.